This 1110-nucleotide long non-coding RNA is filed under the name Canis lupus familiaris (dog). RNAcentral's name for it is "lncRNA (ENSCAFG00030004986.1)". Lineage: Eukaryota; Metazoa; Chordata; Mammalia; Carnivora; Canidae. The record is from RNAcentral.
AAUUUUUUAAGAAGAAGAAGGAGGAGGAGGAGGAGGAGGUUGCAGUGGGCUUGCCUUCAUGUCUGUGCCCAGGCCCUGUCCCCACCUCCACACGCAGACGUCCAGGGUGACAAAGGUGCGUGGAACAAAACGGGGGGCUGGGAGGCGAACCUAGGUCUGGAAAAAGUUCUCUCCAUUAACUGCGCAUUAAACUCCGCGAGCAUCCUCGCUGCCCCUGCCUCAGUUUGCCCGGCAGCUAAACAAGGAACUCGGCGACACCCUGGACGGAAAGACCCGUCCUCGGGCUCCAGAGAGCUUCUCGGCCUCGGGGUCCCCGCUGCCCGCGUGGGUCGGACACAAAGUCUUGCCUCCCCACGCCGCGCCUGCGGGCCGCGACCGCUACCCCCGAGGCCCCGCCACGGCCUGGGCGGGGAGGGGGUCACUCGGGGCGGGGAAGGGGGUCACGCGGGGCAGGCGGGGCCUCGGUGGGGAGGGGGUCACUCGGGGCAGGCGGGGUCCCUCGGGGCAGGCGGGGCCUCGGUGGGGAGGGGGUCACUCGGGGCAGGCGGGGCCUCGGUGGGGAGGAGGUCACUCGGAGCAGGCGGGGAAGGGGGUCACUCGGGGCAGGCGGGGAGGGGGUCACUCGGGGCAGGCGGGGCCUCGGCGGGGAGGGGGUCACUCGGGGCAGCCGCGGCCUCUGCGGGAGGCGGCUCCGGCCCGAGCCCCGGCGCCGCGGGAUCCCCGCCCUCGGCCCGGAGCCGCGCCCGCCGCGCCGUCCUCCCCGCGCCGCCCGCCCGCCCGCCCUCCCCCGGCGACGCGCCCACCCCGGGGACCAUCGCUCUCCCAGGCGACUGCCCGGCGGCCUCUGGGGAGCGCGGCGGGGGACACCCGCUGCCGUUCGCUCCCGGGGCAGCGCGCUCGGCUCGGAAGCCCCGGCGGUCUCAGGUGCCGCCGCCCCGCCCCGCCCCGCGCAGCCCGCCCCGCGCAGCCCCGCGCAGCCCCGCGCCCGCCGCCGGACAGGUGGGCGCCCCGCGUGGCGGUCCCCGCGGCUCGGGAGUCCCUCGCGAGCGCCCGGCCCGGGCGGAAGCCCCGGGGCCACCUCUCGGCGGAGACGACGGGCCACGGGGAUAG